GGAGGAUUCUUGCUUGGCUGACAGGGUCGAGUCACCCAACUUGCUAAAGUCUCAAAUGGGCUGAUGUGACGAAGUCGGAGCUGACGGUUAUGAGAGAGUGGGGGAAGGCAGAUAUAUCAGCCCUAGAAUGAGAACUACUUGGGCCUACUCUGCGGCCCAGUGAAAAAUAAACCAGAGUGCAGAAUUAAAACCCUCUGGAGUAGGACUGAUUUACUCCCCAGCAGAGGGAGAAAUGCUGAAGCUGAGGGGGUGAAGGAGGGUGCCUCGCCAUGCAUCCCAUUGGUCGAGAGAAUGCUGACCUCUGAUGGGAAACUGAGCUACAGAGAAAAGGAGAAUUGAGACACGGAAGAACUGACACUGGACUGGCUGCAAGAACAAUAGGAGCCAUAUGGCAUCAUGAACAAUGGGAGAAAAAGAAGAGUUCAACUAUGAAAGCCAGAAAAGAGAAGUGAAGAUGAACCAGAGCCAAAUGCAAGAUUGUGUAACAGCCACAUAAGAGCACAGCUGACUUGUGAGCACAACUGAAAAUAGCUGAUAAAAUAGCCCAGAAAACUAAACAAAAUCAGAAAAGAAUGAGACUAAUCAUGGAUCUUAGCAAUAGAAAUGUCCUACUGGCUCCCCAAGUCCACUGCUCCAUGCAGUGUGUAAGGUGGGACAUUUUCAAGAGUUUCAAGAUGAUUUUGAAGCCUACAUCUCAAAUCUGUUUUGUAAAUGUGACUUGAGCAUUCUUGAAAAUGUUACCCCAAUAAACUUUCUCUUGAUUUUCAAGAAA
This is a long non-coding RNA of Dermochelys coriacea (leatherback sea turtle), 772 nucleotides long. RefSeq lists it as uncharacterized. The record is from RefSeq and is a predicted model, not a curated record. NCBI's taxonomy places the organism in Eukaryota, Metazoa, Chordata, Testudines, Dermochelyidae. The transcript has 3 exons.